Molecule: long non-coding RNA, 901 nt
Organism: Aphis gossypii (cotton aphid)
Lineage: Eukaryota; Metazoa; Arthropoda; Insecta; Hemiptera; Aphididae
Exons: 3
Source: RefSeq, a predicted model, not a curated record
GGCCGUCCUACAACUUUUACUGGCUGACAACUUAAAAAUACAUCGCGCACACAAUAACGCCAAAAUUCGAUUACACGAACGAGAUAACAAAAGGGACACGGGGAAAAAAACGGCUCUCGCGAGUAUGUCGUAGUAGAUAUAGGUAUAUUAGUACGAAAUUUGCGGCCAAAAAAAAAAACAUCACCGCCUCUGCCGUCGAGCGUGUAUAAUAUUAUGCACUAUGUCAUGACCUCAUAACGUAUAUCCAUCUCUACGACAAUCAUACGAGUAUAAUAUAAUUGAAUAUUAUUAUUGUCAUAAGUACCGCGGCAAUUAUAGUGGUUAUCGUAUGAAAAUGUUAAAAUAUAGAUGCGAUAAUAGGUGCAGAUUGCAGGGGUGCAAAAAUUCUAGAGCUAACACCACGAAUCCCAUAAUAGUACAAGCGCUAUAACGUCUAUACGCACAAACACACACACACACGGUUGGGUAUAUACACUACGUUGACCUCGGGCAAAACCAAAUGGAGUGUGGUGACUAUAGCGGGACUUCUUCGGUGGAACCUAUCUAUACUAUACCGUAAUGAAACGAGAGACGACGACGACUACAACGUUCCGGGCGCCCACGCAUUUGACCUUCACGUCUUGACAAGACUAAGGAUAUUUCACAUCUACAAGGUCAACACUAGCCGUAAAUUAUUGUGAGAACACAAACCUUUUGUACUAACGACGAAAUGCCGAAAAAUAUCUAUUAAUACGAAUAAUAUAUUAUUAUAAUAUUAUUAUAUGUUAUAUGAAUAAUAUAGAUUUAUUACACUACCGUUUAGUACCGUCACUACCUACAUGAAUCAUAUUAUAUUAUGUGACUAAUUAUAAAACAAUAAAUGGAAAUUUUAAUAAAACACCACUAUUUACUAAAUGAGACU